RNAcentral lists this ribosomal RNA (715 nucleotides) under Streptomyces sp. RNAcentral describes it as "bacterial SSU rRNA". It matches the Rfam family "Bacterial small subunit ribosomal RNA", at positions 104 to 833 of the family's 1533-position model. The record is from RNAcentral. Lineage: Bacteria; Bacillati; Actinomycetota; Actinomycetes; Kitasatosporales; Streptomycetaceae.
GGGUGAGUAACACGUGGGCAAUCUGCCCUUCACUCUGGGACAAGCCCUGGAAACGGGGUCUAAUACCGGAUAACACUCUGUCCUGCAUGGGACGGGGUUAAAAGCUCCGGCGGUGAAGGAUGAGCCCGCGGCCUAUCAGCUUGUUGGUGGGGUAAUGGCCUACCAAGGCGACGACGGGUAGCCGGCCUGAGAGGGCGACCGGCCACACUGGGACUGAGACACGGCCCAGACUCCUACGGGAGGCAGCAGUGGGGAAUAUUGCACAAUGGGCGAAAGCCUGAUGCAGCGACGCCGCGUGAGGGAUGACGGCCUUCGGGUUGUAAACCUCUUUCAGCAGGGAAGAAGCGAAAGUGACGGUACCUGCAGAAGAAGCGCCGGCUAACUACGUGCCAGCAGCCGCGGUAAUACGUAGGGCGCAAGCGUUGUCCGGAAUUAUUGGGCGUAAAGAGCUCGUAGGCGGCUUGUCACGUCGGAUGUGAAAGCCCGGGGCUUAACCCCGGGUCUGCAUUCGAUACGGGCUAGCUAGAGUGUGGUAGGGGAGAUCGGAAUUCCUGGUGUAGCGGUGAAAUGCGCAGAUAUCAGGAGGAACACCGGUGGCGAAGGCGGAUCUCUGGGCCAUUACUGACGCUGAGGAGCGAAAGCGUGGGGAGCGAACAGGAUUAGAUACCCUGGUAGUCCACGCCGUAAACGUUGGGAACUAGGUGUUGGCGACAUU